UGCUUCCAACCAUGGGGUCUGAAAUACCAGACAGGAGUGUAGGACUUCAAUCCCUUGCUCCUUUACAUAUUCCAAGGCAUCAAAUGCCCGGAUCUGAAGAAGCUCAGACAAGUGGGUCAGAAUCAGUGAUUCCGAUUGCUCCUGUCCUCUUAGGUCAUGGUGCUCGACAAAGGUCCCCGGACAAUUCAGAGGUUGUUCCCUGGACCUUUUAUCCCACAGGUCCACCUGUUAGCUUUUUUACGAUGCUUCCAAUGUACAACUUCCCAACUGAGUCAGGAACCUCUGAUGCAUCAACAAGCCAUUUUAGUGGGGAAGAGGGCCUGGGAAGCAGUGAUUCUGGUCAAAAGUUUGAUAUGUCUGAGGGACUUGAUCAGUCAGAGGCGUCAAGUACUUCAAUUUCUAUGAGAAGGUCUGCUCAUGUCGAACCAUUGGAGCACAAGUUUGACAUUCUCAACAGUGACUUUCCUAGCCAUUGGCAAAAUUUACAAUAUGGCCGGUUUCACAAUCUUCUUGUAAUUAGCAAUUUAGAGUGAGAAAAACAAAAGUGCUAUUUCCAGAAAAAGGAGAACAAGAAACCUUCAAGGCAUUUCAAUCAAGAUACUGCACCAUCCAUUAAUUGUUUGUUUAUUUUCAUAAUCGAAAUGGUAAUUAAAAAUAAUUAUUUGAUUUAAAAUCCUAUUAAAUACAAUCCAAUUUAUUUAAAUUAAUUGAUCCAGUUCGAAGUUUUAAAUGAACUUAUGUUAUUCAGAUGAUAUGAUUCCCGUGAGAGAAUAUAAACAAAAUCUAAAUUUUCAAAAUUUCUUAUCAUAUGAUUUAUUGUGGAUUUUUAUAAACGCAGACAGCUGAAAUAAAUUUAUGGCUUUAAAAUGACAAAAAAGUAUAUAAAGGCAAUGAGGCUGCGGCCUUGGGACGGUAAAAAUAUCGGGGUACAGUCUGAAUUCGCAAAGAUUUGGAACAUUCAGAUAUGGAAAAAUUUGGAUCCGCAUAUUAAAAAAUGUGGAUCCAGAUGCUAAAUUAUAGAAUCCGUACAUAUCCAAAUUCGAAUCCGGAUCCGGCCGAAAAAAGGAUAUCGCAUUAUUUUUUAAUUAAAUUAUUUACUAAAUUAAAAUUAAAUAAAAAUAUAUAAGUUAAAUGAAAAACAUAAUAGAAUUAAUUAAAAAACAUAAAUGAAACUAAAGUAAAAAAUAAAUUAUAUAUAUAUAUAUUGGAAUCCAUAUUAUUUUAUGUGGACUUGUAGUGUUUUUUUAUUUUAUAUAUGUAGUUUGCCAUCACUACUGCGGCCUGCUUCAAUUGCCUGCAACAGAAAUUGGGCCCAACACUUAUAUGGGCCUGCAUAAUUUCAAUUGGCUAGCCCAACUCAUUAAGGAAAAGUACAAAACGGCAGCGGCGAAUAAUAAAAAUAAAAACGAAAAUCUUCUUAAAUAAAAAAAGGAAAAUGGAAAGAACGGUAAGAGAAAAAAAAUUCAAAAAUUUUUUUAAUUUAAUUUAUUUUUUAUUACGUCUGCCCUGUCUCCCUCUUGCUCUCUCUCCGUGUUCCUUUCCCAGAUUCUAUCAUCCUCCCUCUUUCUUUCUCUCUCUGUUUCUAUUUCUCAAAUAUAUUUUUUCAUUAUUUAAAAAUAAAAAAAUAAAUUAGAAACCCUCGAAUGCACAAACUUCCUCAUCGUCAAAACCUCGCCUCCACAAAGCAAUUCCAAAUUCCUGUGACCAAACACGCCCUCUUUCUGUCUUUCUUCCCGAAACCUAAUUUUGAUCCGCCCCUCAAUCUAUCCACCAUUUAAUUUAAUGCCCCAAUCCCCUCUCUUACAUUUGCUAUUUGGUCCCUCUUCCUCCUCACAACUAUCUUUAUACUUUCCAUCGUUGAUUCGCCGACGCUUCCAACUUCCAAAACAUUCUCCUUAGGUUUUGAUAAAUCUCAACCAAUCUGUAUCACUAAUCUGCUUCUUAUUUUUAUCUUCAGGGUUUCAGCAUAUCCUUUUUCUUUACUAAUAUAUUCAGUUUGUUAUAAAUUUACAAUUUUGUAUUCUUCUUUAGGUUAUAUAAAUUUCAAAACCUAAAAUUCUUCUUACUAUUACUUAAGAAAAAGGUUAAUAAUAAUUGAAACUCAAGCAUAAAAACAAAACUGAUAGACUUUGAAUUCGAAAAACUUAGUUUGAUCGGCAAGUUGUUUUAGUAGUUGUGGUGGUGGUGGCGGUGACAUUUUGGGUAAAGAUUAGCAAAGCGAAAAUUAAAGGGAUUGCAUGGGAGAGCAUGAAGGGCGGAGAGAGCCACCAAGUGGGCUAUUAUUAAACGGGUUAUUGCCCAAUGAAGCGGGUUCAGUGAUCCGAGCACUUGACCCGGAACGAUGGUUGAAGGCAGAGGAGAGAACUGCAGAGCUUAUUGCCUGCAUUCAGCCCAACCCCUUUUCCGAAGAACGCCGCAAUGCUGUUGCAGAUUAUGUUCAGCGCCUCAUUAGCAAAUGCGUUCCUUGUCAGGUUGCCAACUUUUACAUAUAUGUGAGAAUUUGUUUAUGUUGCGUUGCUUUAUUGAUUCGACCAAAUGAACAUGUAUUAUGUUGAAUUUUGUUAAUGUUGUAUAUCCCGGUUUAACUUAUUAGUCAAAACACAGGCAUAAAUAGUUGCAAUCAUCCUAUAUUUAGUGAAUGUGAUGGGAUGUUGAACAAAUUGGCAUCAUUUAAGCUUUUGCAUUUUCAUUUAUUUUAUGUUAUUAUUCACUAGUGAUUAUUUUCGUGUACAGGUUUUUACUUUUGGGUCUGUACCCCUUAAGACCUAUUUACCAGAUGGGGACAUUGACUUAACAGCUUUUAGUGAUAAUCAAACUUUGAAAGACACAUGGGCUCAUCAGGUGCGUGAUAUGUUGGAAAACGAAGAGAAGAAUGAGCAUGCUGAAUUCCGUGUCAAGGAGGUUCAGUACAUUCAGGCAGAAGUGAGUUUCAUCGUACCUUAGUUUUCUAAAGAUUGUGGCUCAUAUCUUCCAUUCAUGCCCUGUAUUAUUUGAUGCAAAAUUUCCAUCUGAUAGAGUUUUACAAAUUUCAAACUUGUGAUUUAUUUUAACUGGAGAUAAGUUUGGAUUUAUCCCCUGAAAUUUUAGUUUCAGAGUUGCAAUGCUAUUCGUUGUGACUGAUUGUGGUGAUUUAUUCAUCUGAGAAGAUGCUUGUUUGUCCACUAAACCGUUACUAUUAUUAUGGUUAUCUAAAUUCUUGUUUGUGGAUUUUCUGCAUAAAUUCUAAUGUAACCUAUAUAAGCCCAUUUUGCCUCAAGUUUUUUGUUUUGUACUGAAUUUAACAUUCUUUUUCUGUUAUUAUUUGUAGGUAAAGAUAAUAAAGUGCCUUGUCGAAAAUAUUGUGGUAGACAUAUCAUUUAACCAGCUUGGUGGGUUAUGCACUCUUUGUUUCCUUGAUGAGGUCCGUGGUGCAUCAACUUUGCCAUUGAACGUUUCCUUUUCAAAUUGUAAUCCAUUAUGCUGAUUAUGUUUAUUUGCUAACUGUUUUUUUCUGCUUAAAUAGGUUGAUCAUAUGAUAAAUCAGAAUCAUCUUUUCAAGCGCAGCAUUAUACUGAUAAAGGCUUGGUGUUAUUAUGAAAGCCGAAUAUUGGGUGCUCACCAUGGACUUAUAUCAACAUAUGCCUUGGAGACAUUGGUUCUUUACAUAUUUCAUGUUUUCAACAAUUCUUUUGCUGGUCCGCUUGAGGUGGCUAUGUGAACAUUUUCUCACUAUUUUCAUACAUUUGUCCUUUUAGUAGGCUGAUAGUUUUUUUCUUUCCACUUGUAGGUCCUUUAUCGUUUUCUGGAGUUUUUUAGCAAGUUUGACUGGGACAACUUCUGUCUAAGCCUUUGGGGUCCUGUACCCAUCAGUUCGCUUCCAGAUGUAACGGGUAUAGAUAUUUUGCUUGAAAAUUCUAAUUUUGAUCCUCGCAUAAGUGAUCGUCAAGCUUGAUGUUUCCUCUUGGUCUGUUUUACAGCGGAACCUCCUCGAAAAGAUGGUGGAGUGUUACUUCUUAGCAAAUUGUUUCUUGAUGCUUGUAGUUCUACAUAUGCUGUUUUUCCUGGUGGCCAAGAAAAUCAGGGCCAACCCUUUGUUUCAAAACAUUUUAAUGUCAUCGAUCCUUUGCGUGUAAACAACAACCUUGGGCGCAGUGUUAGUAAAGGUGCAUUGACAAACUAUAUACUACAGUUCUAUUUCUUUUGUGGGCUUAUUAUUUGUUGCGAUACUGUGAUAUCAUCUGUUCAUUCCUCUGGCAUGGUGAAUGUGAUACUAUUAAUUUUAUUUUGAAUUAAUGUCUUUCUUUUUUUUUUUGAAUGGUCUUUGUAAUUCUAUGAAACAUUGCCUGUUCCUAUUUUUUAAUGUUUUGCUUAUUUUUAUUUCUUACCUACCAUUUUCCAGUGGCAAUUUGAACUGUCUUCAUGUGGUUCUUUUUUGUAGCCUGCUUGGGCUCCAAUGUCCGUUAGCAUAAGAAGGUUAUAUUUUAGUUUAGUUGUGGCUUCAUAUAUGCUAACCUUUUUAUGAUCGUAUGCUAUCAAUGACAUUUUACUAUGUUUUUGCUUGGUUACUUUCUUAAUUUUUCUUCACAAUAGAAAAUUUCACUUCUUUACUAGGUGAACUCCUGUGUUGGUCUCCAUUGAUUCACUUUAUGCAUCUGGUAUCUUGUAGUUCAUUUAUUCUCAAGAAGGGCAUUGUCCAAGAAGUUACCUGUGACUUUUUCUAACCCUCCCACACUUAUUGUGGUGAUGCUUACUUUUAACAAAUAAAAUAAAACCAUGAGCAGAAUAAAUACAUGGAAUACACACAGUAAUUUAUUUUAAAAAAUUUUAGAAGGUUUGGAUGGGGAUGAGAACCUUAUCCACAUCAACCCUUUCCAUAUUAUCAUUCAAACUUGGGCAACCAUGGGUGCAAAAUGCAUACGCGGCCAGCAGAGCUACGCCCAAGGGGUCACGCUCAGAUGAUCCUGGAUAUGUUUAUAUUAACUAUGGAGUUUCCAUAUUUAAAUAUUUGUAAUAAAUGUAGAGGGCAUACUAGGCAUUAUGAUGAAGAUUAUUUGUUUACAAGUGUUUUGUGUUUGUGACUUCGUUGGCUUCACUUUUUCUUUGGGAUGGAAUUCUAAAUGAGUCCACUGUAGUUGUUAAUAACCUUCAAAUAAUCUAUUUUUACCUCAAAACAUCUUUUAUAUUCUUUGUAUGAUCCUAUUUUUAGUGUAGCCGUCGAUAACCUUCACACAUUUUGGCAAAAUUCACUGCAUCUGUGAAGCAAAUGGUAUGGAGCAUAGACUUAUAAGCAUGCACAAAUACAUUUAUAUGGUCUGAGUUCAAUAUAUUGUUGCACAAAUAUGGAGUAUCGGCUAUGAGAUUGUAGUGCUUUUGAUGUGCUUGUAAUUCUUGGUCUGAUUUUCUACUAUCUGAAAUUUUGUAAUUUGUUUCCUUCUGUCUAUAUAAAUUGGCCAGGUAACUUCUUUAGGAUACGCAGUGCAUUUGCAUUUGGGGCUAAAAGGCUGGCAAGGUUACUUGAUUGUCCCAAUGAGGACUUAUAUUAUGAAGUAAAUCAGUUUUUUAUGAAUACCUGGGAUAGACAUGGUAGCGGUGUUCGUCCGGAUGCACCAAGGAAUGACUUGUGGCGCUUGCGAUUGUCAAAUCGAGACCAUCAACAUGAGCCUGAGAAUCUCCACAACAAUUCAGGUUUAGGUGGCAAAAGAAAUGAGAUUUCCAUUGGUUGUGAAUCUCAAGUUGACAGAUCGCAUGGUAGUGCUUCAUCUCAGCAUAUUAAUAGUCCUGUUGAAAGUACUUUUAGGGUCAGUUCUGUUUCCACAGUUUCUCGUACACAAACCCAAAAAAACUAUGGUAACUUGAAUAGCACCAGGGCUUUUGAUCAGGGUAGAAGGGAUGCUAGUAUUAAUCAGAAUGCAAAUAAUGAUAAAGGUAACAGAAGUUUUAAACCUGAUACAAUGAUUGGUGACAUUAAGGGUAGAUAUCUGUUUGCACGGACACGCUCUAGCCCCGAGCUUACAGACACGUAUGGUGAAGUUACCUCCCAAGGGCGGCCUAAGAAACCCCCAGAAAGUGUAAAAUGCCAGAUGUCUUCUUCAAAGUUGGAGAAUAGUAGAAGGAAGAACUUGGAAUCUGAUAUUUUGGCAAGCCAUGACAUUAGAUCUUCAACUGGCAAUCCUUCAUCUGUUAGUCACACUGCAUCCUGUCAGAGCUUUGAUGCUACUGCUGAUUCAAACAGUGUGUUUAAUAGUUACGGUGAUGAUCUGGUCUUGGGUGCUAUGAGUGAAGAAUUUUCUUCUGUUGCAGGGACACAAGGGAUGCAACAGGAAGAGCAAGAUCUUGUGAACUUGAUGGCAUCUUCCAUGGCUCAUGGUUUUAAUGGACAGGUCCGCAUUCCACUGAAUUUAGCUUCUGGUCACUUACCUCUUCCUCUACCACAUUCAAUUCUAACUUCAAUGGGAUAUUCUCAGAGAAAUUUGGGUGGAAUGGUUCCCACCAAUCUUCCCUUCAUUGAGACUGCAUCGGGUGCCAACAUGCAGUUUCCCCAAAGUUUGGUUUCCUCACCUUUAACCCAUUUUUUUCCUGGUGUUGGAUUGACCUCAAGCCCGGAAGAUUCACUUGAACGCGGUAAUGAAAAUUUUGGUCCUGUGGAAACGAACCCUAUGGAGGGUGAUAAUGAUUACUGGCAUCAGCAGAACCGGGGUUCUGGUGGCGGAUUUGAUCUUGAGAAUGGAAAUUUUGAGAUGCUUCAGUCUGACGAUAAGCAGCAAUCAACUUCAGCUGGUUAUAACCUUCUUCCUUCAUCUCAGAUAGGUGCCUCUGGCAGUGCUAGAAGAGCUCCACAUAAAUUCAACAAAGAUGCCGGGGAGUCAAUGAGGGAAGAUCAUGAAGAUUCUUUCCAUUAUCUAGAUAGUAGAGGUAACGAGGUUUACUUUGAUGACAGAUCUGCCAGCUCAAGAUCUAUGCCUGCUUCACAUACAAGUUCUGUGAGAAGUAAAACCAAUUCUGAGAGUUCUUGGGAAGGAUCAUCGGCAAAGGUCUCAAAACCAGCUAAAGAAAAAAGGGGUAGAAAAAUGGCUUCUACUGCUUCUCCAGUGUAUGGAAAAGGUAGUAGUGUGUCAGAACAUUCUUCUGUUCAGGCUGAUGAAGACAACAAAGAAUGGAAUCUGCUUCCAACCAUGGGGUCUGAAAUACCAGACAGGAGUGUAGGACUUCAAUCCCUUGCUCCUUUACAUAUUCCAAGGCAUCAAAUGCCCGGAUCUGAAGAAGCUCAGACAAGUGGGUCAGAAUCAGUGAUUCCGAUUGCUCCUGUCCUCUUAGGUCAUGGUGCUCGACAAAGGUCCCCGGACAAUUCAGAGGUUGUUCCCUGGACCUUUUAUCCCACAGGUCCACCUGUUAGCUUUUUUACGAUGCUUCCAAUGUACAACUUCCCAACUGAGUCAGGAACCUCUGAUGCAUCAACAAGCCAUUUUAGUGGGGAAGAGGGCCUGGGAAGCAGUGAUUCUGGUCAAAAGUUUGAUAUGUCUGAGGGACUUGAUCAGUCAGAGGCGUCAAGUACUUCAAGUUCUAUGAGAAGGUCUGCUCGUGUCGAACCAUUGGAGCACAAGUCUGACAUUCUCAACAGUGACUUUCUUAGCCAUUGGCAAAAUUUACAAUAUGGCCGGUUUUGCCAAAACCCACGAUUAUCUUCACCUCUUAUAUAUCCUUCACCUAUGAUGGUGCCACCUGUCUAUCUACAGGGCCGUUUUCCAUGGGAUGGUCCUGGAAGACCACUUUCAGCCAACAUGAAUCUUUUUACCCAGCUCAUCAGUUAUGGGCCCCAUCUUGCUCCUGUUACUCCUCUCCAGUCUGCUUCUAACAGGCCUGCUGGUGUUUACCAACGGUACAUUGAUGAAAUGCCAAGAUAUCGUGCUGGGACUGGGACUUACCUUCCCAAUCCUGUAAGAUGCAUUUGCAAGACUUCUUUCUGCGUGGCUGUUUCGUUUCAUUUGGCUUCUCUAUUUAAUUAUGUUUGCACUGUGCUUCUGUGUUUUUGUUAGCAUACAAUGGUAUUGCUUUGUUUCACCUUUAUCUAUCGCCCAUCGUUUGCCAAAAAUGUUGUCUAUACACGCAUUCGAUUGGAUUAGAAUUUUUCUUUAUAGAAGCAUAUUGCUUCUUGUUCCUGAAUCAUAUUUCGGGUUGGGCACUGAUUAGAACCUUGGUGAAAGGCAGUCCCACAUCCGAGUUGGGCACUGAUUAGAACCUUGGUGAAAGGCAGUCCCACAUCCGAGUUUGUGUAUCUGGAUUAAGUUAUUGGUUGCCAAAGACUGAUUCAUUUGCAUUGUGGCCUUGAUAUUGUGUGUCAUGUGGUCUAGAGAAUGUAUACUGGUGCCACAAGUGAAAGGGUGAAGUAGAGAAGAGUUGUAAUGUUACAUAUGAUUUUGUCAAAUUUGCAACAUUCAGUUCUGGGUUUUUUCAUGUGUAUUGAAUGCUGCUUUCCUUUUUUUUUUUAAUAUAAGUGACGGUCAGGAAUCUAGAAAGCAGCCAAGCCUGGCCAUUAGUGUUGGUGUGUUCUCAGUUCGUUUACGUUUCAUUAGUGACCUUACUGAGCAUCUUUUCUCAUUUAGCAUUUAGAUAUUUACAAUGCUAUUUAUCAUUGAUCAAUGUUUUUGUUUUGUUUUCUUUUAGAAGGUUUCUCCAAAGGACCGGCAUUCUACAAGUUCAAGAAGGGGGAAUUAUAGCCACGAUAGGAGUGACCACCAUGGUGAGAGAGAAGGGAACUGGAACGUUAAUUCAAAGUCACGAGCUUCUGGGCGCCACAAUCGCAACCAAGUUGAGAAAUCAAGCUCAAGGCCAGACCGGUUGGCAGCGAGUGAGAAUCGGUCUGAGAGGCCUUGGAGUUCUCAGAGACAUGACACAUUCCCCCCAUAUCACUCUCAAAAUGGUCCAUUGCGCUCCAGCUCCACACACAGUGGUUCCCCAAAUGUGGCAUAUGGCAUGUAUCCGC
This 8959-nucleotide long non-coding RNA is filed under the name Citrus sinensis (sweet orange). RNAcentral describes it as "long non-coding RNA (CSIN_LNC004118)". The record is from RNAcentral. Lineage: Eukaryota; Viridiplantae; Streptophyta; Magnoliopsida; Sapindales; Rutaceae.